GACGAACCGUGCGAACGUUAUUCGGAAUCACUGGGCUUAAAGGGCGCGUAGGCGGGCCCGUUAGUCAGGGGUGAAAUCCCACGGCCCAACCGUGGAAGUGCCUCUGAUACUGCGGGCCUCGAGGGAGGUAGGGGCGUGCGGAUCUCAGGGUGGAGCGGUGAAAUGCGUAGAUAUCCUGAGGAACACCGGUGGCGAAAGCGGCGCGCUGGACCUCUUCUGACGCUGAGGCGCGAAAGCCAGGGGAGCAAACGGG
This 253-nucleotide ribosomal RNA is filed under the name uncultured bacterium. RNAcentral's name for it is "partial 16S ribosomal RNA". It matches the Rfam family "Bacterial small subunit ribosomal RNA", at positions 524 to 776 of the family's 1533-position model. The record is from RNAcentral.